Molecule: ribosomal RNA, 253 nt
Filed under: uncultured bacterium
Lineage: Bacteria
Description: partial 16S ribosomal RNA
Rfam family: Bacterial small subunit ribosomal RNA
Source: RNAcentral
UACAGAGGGUGCGAGCGUUGUCCGGAAUUAUUGGGCGUAAAGAGCUUGUAGGCGGUUUGUCGCGUCUGCUGUGAAAAUCCGGGGCUCAACCCCGGACUUGCAGUGGGUACGGGCAGACUAGAGUGUGGUAGGGGAGACUGGAAUUCCUGGUGUAGCGGUGAAAUGCGCAGAUAUCAGGAGGAACACCGAUGGCGAAGGCAGGUCUCUGGGCCACUACUGACGCUGAGAAGCGAAAGCAUGGGGAGCGAACAGG